This 567-nucleotide unclassified non-coding RNA is filed under the name Hevea brasiliensis (rubber tree). The record is from RNAcentral. Lineage: Eukaryota; Viridiplantae; Streptophyta; Magnoliopsida; Malpighiales; Euphorbiaceae.
GCACAAGGCAGUGUGACACUGGUAAGACCUUAAGACGGACUAUGAUAUACUCAGUUCUGUUUGCUUUGUACUGGAAAUUUAUUUUUAGCUGUAUUUUGCAAGUUGCUUUCAGUUAUUUUCAAAUUCAUCCAAGCUUUAUGUUAAUGUGUUUUAGGCUUUGUUUGGUAAACUACUUUUGCCACCCUCUGUAUAACAAUUGCAACAAGCCUAAAAGUUAACCAAGCCAAAGCCUUAGUCAAUGAUCCAAUUGACAAUAAUUGUUGGGGAUGACAGAACUUCAAAAGUUGAUCUAUUUUAAAUUCAAGCUAUAAAAGCUAUGUAUUUACUUAUUUAUUGCAUUCAAGUCCUAAUACUUUUAAAAUCACUCAAUUUUAGUCCUAUCCAUUAAGUCAAUAAUAUAUAUUCUCUUAGUCAACUCCAAAGAUACACCCCCUCCCCCCAUUUCAAUCCUAAAACUUUUUAAAAUUUUUCUUUUCUUUCUUUUUUCCCACUCUUUUUCUGAACUAAUUUGGAAAAAAAAAAUCAAUAAUUCAUCAAAAUCAUAUAAAAUGAUAAGUACCAUCAAAU